UACGGAGGAUGCGAGCGUUAUCCGGAUUUAUUGGGUUUAAAGGGUGCGUAGGCGGAUCGUUAAGUCAGUGGUCAAAUUGAGGGGCUCAACCCCUUCCCGCCAUUGAAACUGGCGAUCUUGAGUGGAAGAGAAGUAUGCGGAAUGCGUGGUGUAGCGGUGAAAUGCAUAGAUAUCACGCAGAACCCCGAUUGCGAAGGCAGCAUGCCGGCUUCCUACUGACGCUGAAGCACGAAAGCGUAGGGAUCGAACAGG
This 252-nucleotide ribosomal RNA is filed under the name uncultured bacterium. RNAcentral's name for it is "partial 16S ribosomal RNA". It matches the Rfam family "Bacterial small subunit ribosomal RNA", at positions 524 to 776 of the family's 1533-position model. The record is from RNAcentral.